Molecule: ribosomal RNA, 893 nt
Filed under: uncultured bacterium
Lineage: Bacteria
Description: bacterial SSU rRNA
Rfam family: Bacterial small subunit ribosomal RNA
Source: RNAcentral
AGAGUUUGAUCAUGGCUCAGGACGAACGCUGGCGGCGUGCUUAACACAUGCAAGUCGAACGAUGAAGCCCUUCGGGGUGGAUUAGUGGCGAACGGGUGAGUAACACGUGGGCAAUCUGCCCUGCACUCUGGGACAAGCCCUGGAAACGGGGUCUAAUACCGGAUACGAGAACCUUGGGCAUCCUUGGUUCUGUAAAGCUCCGGCGGUGCAGGAUGAGCCCGCGGCCUAUCAGCAUGUUGGUGAGGUAACGGCUCACCAAGGCGACGACGGGUAGCCGGCCUGAGAGGGCGACCGGCCACACUGGGACUGAGACACGGCCCAGACUCCUACGGGAGGCAGCAGUGGGGAAUAUUGCACAAUGGGCGAAAGCCUGAUGCAGCGACGCCGCGUGAGGGAUGACGGCCUUCGGGUUGUAAACCUCUUUCAGCAGGGAAGAAGCGCAAGUGACGGUACCUGCAGAAGAAGCGCCGGCUAACUACGUGCCAGCAGCCGCGGUAAUACGUAGGGCGCAAGCGUUGUCCGGAAUUAUUGGGCGUAAAGAGCUCGUAGGCGGCUUGUCACGUCGGUUGUGAAAGCCAGGGGCUUAACCCCGGGUCUGCAGUCGAUACGGGCAGGCUAGAGUUCGGUAGGGGAGAUCGGAAUUCCUGGUGUAGCGGUGAAAUGCGCAGAUAUCAGGAGGAACACCGGUGGCGAAGGCGGAUCUCUGGGCCGAUACUGACGCUGAGGAGCGAAAGCGUGGGGAGCGAACAGGAUUGGAUACCCUGGUAGUCCACGCCGUAAACGGUGGGCACUAGGUGUGGGCAACAUUCCACGUUGUCCGUGCCGCAGCUAACGCAUUAAGUGCCCCGCCUGGGGAGUACGGCCGCAAGGCUAAAACUCAAAUGAAUUGACGG